CACGUAGGGGCCAAGCGUUGUCCGGAUUUAUUGGGCGUAAAGAGCUCGUAGGCGGUUGGGUAAGUCGGGUGUGAAAACUCUGGGCUCAACUCAGAGACGCCACCCGAUACUGCUCUGACUUGAGUCCGGUAGGGGAGUGGGGAAUUCCUGGUGUAGCGGUGAAAUGCGCAGAUAUCAGGAGGAACACCGGUGGCGAAGGCGCCACUCUGGGCCGGAACUGACGCUGAGGAGCGAAAGCGUGGGGAGCGAACAGG
This 254-nucleotide ribosomal RNA is filed under the name uncultured bacterium. RNAcentral's name for it is "partial 16S ribosomal RNA". It matches the Rfam family "Bacterial small subunit ribosomal RNA", at positions 524 to 776 of the family's 1533-position model. The record is from RNAcentral.